AAUCAACGCUGGCGGCGUGCCUCAGACAUGCAAGUCGAACGCGAAAGUCCCCUUCGGGGGACAAGUAGAGUGGCGCACGGGUGAGUAACACGUAGGUAAUCUACCUUUGGAUGGGGAAUAACAAUCGGAAACGGUUGCUAAUACCGCAUAAUGCAGCGGCACCUAAUGGUGACAGUUGUUAAAGCGGGGGAUCGAAAGACCUCGCGUCUAAAGAGGAGCCUGCGGCGGAUUAGCUAGUUGGUAGGGUAACGGCCUACCAAGGCGACGAUCCGUAACCGGCCUGAGAGGGCGGUCGGUCACACUGACACUGACAUACGGGUCAGACUCCUACGGGAGGCAGCAGUCGGGAAUUUGGGCAAUGGGCGAAAGCCUGACCCAGCAACGCCGCGUGAAGGAUGAAAUCCCUC
This 407-nucleotide ribosomal RNA is filed under the name uncultured bacterium. Its description in RNAcentral is "bacterial SSU rRNA". It matches the Rfam family "Bacterial small subunit ribosomal RNA", at positions 32 to 419 of the family's 1533-position model. The record is from RNAcentral.